This 253-nucleotide ribosomal RNA is filed under the name uncultured bacterium. RNAcentral's name for it is "partial 16S ribosomal RNA". It matches the Rfam family "Bacterial small subunit ribosomal RNA", at positions 524 to 776 of the family's 1533-position model. The record is from RNAcentral.
UACGUAGGGGGCUAGCGUUGUCCGGAUUUAUUGGGCGUAAAGAGCGUGUAGGCGGCCUGGUAGGUCUGCUGUGAAAACUCGAGGCUCAACCUCGAGAUGUCGGCGGAAACCAUCUGGCUAGAGUCCGGAAGAGGAGAGUGGAAUUCCCGGUGUAGCGGUGAAAUGCGCAGAUAUCAGGAAGAACACCUAUGGCGAAGGCAGCUCUCUGGGACGGUACUGACGCUGAGACGCGAAAGCGUGGGGAGCGAACAGG